GUCCACGCCGUAAACGAUGGACACUAGGCGUCGGGGGGAGCGACCCUCCCGGUGCCGUCGCUAACGCAGUAAGUGUCCCGCCUGGGGAGUACGGCCGCAAGGCUGAAACUCAAAGGAAUUGACGGGGGCCCGCACAAGCGGUGGAGCAUGUGGUUUAAUUCGAAGCAACGCGAAGAACCUUACCUGGGCUUGACAUGCUGGUGAAAGCCGGUGGAAACAUCGGCCCCUCUUCGGAGCGCCAGCACAGGUGCUGCAUGGCUGUCGU
RNAcentral lists this ribosomal RNA (265 nucleotides) under uncultured bacterium. RNAcentral's name for it is "partial 16S ribosomal RNA". It matches the Rfam family "Bacterial small subunit ribosomal RNA", at positions 793 to 1055 of the family's 1533-position model. The record is from RNAcentral.